UACGUAGGGGGCAAGCGUUAUCCGGAUUUACUGGGUGUAAAGGGAGCGUAGACGGUUCUGCAAGUCUGAAGUGAAAGCCCGUGGCUUAACCGCGGAACGGCUUUGGAAACUGUGGAACUGGAGUGCUGGAGAGGCAAGCGGAAUUCCUAGUGUAGCGGUGAAAUGCGUAGAUAUUAGGAGGAACACCAGUGGCGAAGGCGGCUUGCUGGACAGUAACUGACGUUGAGGCUCGAAAGCGUGGGGAGCAAACAGG
Molecule: ribosomal RNA, 253 nt
Filed under: uncultured bacterium
Lineage: Bacteria
Description: partial 16S ribosomal RNA
Rfam family: Bacterial small subunit ribosomal RNA
Source: RNAcentral